AAAGACCCAAUUUCUGGGUUUUCGUGUGCAACGUUUGACCGUCCGUCUUAUAGAAAUUGUUUUAUGAUUAAUAUUUGCAUUAUUGUUAGAUGAUAAAACAUGAAUAAUACUUUAUGCAUGACUUAUCUUUUUAAAUUUUUUCAUAAUUUUUUAAAUAAGACGGACGGUCAAAUGUUAGACACGAAAAUACAGAAAUUAAG
MicroRNA precursor from Oryza sativa Japonica Group (Japanese rice), 200 nucleotides. It matches the Rfam family "MIR812 microRNA precursor family". Lineage: Eukaryota; Viridiplantae; Streptophyta; Magnoliopsida; Poales; Poaceae. The record is from Rfam.